Papaver somniferum (opium poppy) is the source of this 314-nucleotide long non-coding RNA. RefSeq lists it as uncharacterized. The record is from RefSeq and is a predicted model, not a curated record. The transcript is spliced from 2 exons. NCBI's taxonomy places the organism in Eukaryota, Viridiplantae, Streptophyta, Magnoliopsida, Ranunculales, Papaveraceae.
UCUAGUUUCAUCGGAUUAAUCAUUCUUAUAGCUCUCAUCAAUACAACUGCGGCUGAACUCCAAUUCAGGUCACUUGCAACUUAGAAGCAGCCAUUAUAUCAAAACUUAGAAGCAGCCACUAGUGUCCGGGAAACUGAAACUAGACUUGAUGGCAUGCCAGCCAUGCCAGUUGUUUAUGAUGGCAGACAAGACUAACUGAAACUAGACUUGUUUUUAUUACUCUAUUUCCUGUCAACAUAUAUAUCUGUUCGAUGGAAAAUGUUGCAAGAAACCAGAUAUUGUUAAGCCCGAGGAAAUAAAUUAGCUUUCGUCAA